UGUGUUUGAUGGGUUGCCUCUGUAUGAUUUGAUUUUUGAAACAUUGACCAUGUAUUGAGCUCUAUUGAUAUCAACAUAAAACUAAGGUAAAUCGUCAUAUUUGCUGGAAUUGUCACUGUUAGUGUGUGCUGAACUUGAGAGGAAAGAUGCUGCUGAAGUAACCAUGAAGAUGCUUGCUAAUUUAUAAAGAUUGCUAAAUUGAUGACAUCUAAGAAACUGGACCAUUUUUUCUUAAAAGUACGUAUGCUAACAAUGCC
RNAcentral lists this long non-coding RNA (257 nucleotides) under Linum usitatissimum (flax). Its description in RNAcentral is "long non-coding RNA (LUSI_LNC003846)". Lineage: Eukaryota; Viridiplantae; Streptophyta; Magnoliopsida; Malpighiales; Linaceae. The record is from RNAcentral.